UUAAGUUCAGCGGGUAGUCCCACCCGAUUUGAGGUCAAAUUGUCAGAGAUUGUCCUAAAAGGACGGUUUGAAGCAUAGAGCUUACUCUGUAAUGCAGUCUUGCGACUUGACUCUGGUGAAAUGUUUAUUACACCAGAUACAUUGCAAAAGCAAGGUACACUCAGGCAUUUGAGACGAGCCGUAAUAACACGGCAACAUCC
Molecule: unclassified non-coding RNA, 200 nt
Filed under: Sebacinaceae sp.
Lineage: Eukaryota; Fungi; Basidiomycota; Agaricomycetes; Sebacinales; Sebacinaceae
Description: partial internal transcribed spacer 2
Source: RNAcentral